GGAGUCUAGCAUGUGCGCGAGUCAUUGGGACGAGCGAAACCUAAAGGCGAAAUGAAAGUGAAGGCGCGCCUAGCGCGUGCCGAGGGAGGAUGGGCCGCGUCAGUCGCGGCCCCGCACUCCCGGGGCGUUUCGUUCUCAUCGCGAGAAGAGGCGCACCCAGAGCGUACACGCUGGGACCCGAAAGAUGGUGAACUAUGCCUGGUCAGGACGAAGUCAGGGGAAACCCUGAUGGAGGUCCGUAGCGAUUCUGACGUGCAAAUCGAUCGUCGGAACUGGGUAUAGGGGCGAAAGACUAAUCGAACCAUCUAGUAGCUGGUUCCCUCCGAAGUUUCCCUCAGGAUAGCUGGCGCUCGCUGUGCGAGUCUCAUCCGGUAAAGCGAAUGAUUAGAGGCAUUGGGGUCGAAACGGCCUCAACCUAUUCUCAAACUUUAAAUGGGUGAGAACUCCGGCUUGCUUAAACGGUGAAGCCGCGAGUUUCGAAACGAAUAAGGAUCAGAGUGCCAAGUGGGCCACUUUUGGUAAGCAGAACUGGCGCUGUGGGAUGAACCAAACGCAGAGUUAAAGCGCCCAAAUCGACGCUUAUGGGAUACCAUGAAAGGCGUUGGUAACUUAAGACAGCAGGACGGUGGCCAUGGAA
Molecule: ribosomal RNA, 637 nt
Filed under: Capnodis tenebricosa
Lineage: Eukaryota; Metazoa; Arthropoda; Insecta; Coleoptera; Buprestidae
Description: eukaryotic LSU rRNA
Rfam family: Eukaryotic large subunit ribosomal RNA
Source: RNAcentral